Molecule: ribosomal RNA, 401 nt
Filed under: uncultured bacterium
Lineage: Bacteria
Description: bacterial SSU rRNA
Rfam family: Bacterial small subunit ribosomal RNA
Source: RNAcentral
GAGCAAGCGUGCGUUCGUGAACGCGCGUCGAGAGUACCCGGAGAAAAAGCAUCGGCUAACUCCGUGCCAGCAGCCGCGGUAAUACGGAGGAUGCGAGCGUUAUCCGGAUUUAUUGGGUUUAAAGGGUGCGUAGGCGGGAUGCCAAGUCAGCGGUAAAAAUGCGGUGCUCAACGCCGUCGAGCCGUUGAAACUGGCGUUCUUGAGUGGGCGAGAAGUAUGCGGAAUGCGUGGUGUAGCGGUGAAAUGCAUAGAUAUCACGCAGAACUCCGAUUGCGAAGGCAGCAUACCGGCGCCCUACUGACGCUGAGGCACGAAAGCGUGGGUAUCGAACAGGAUUAGAUACCCUGGUAGUCCACGCAGUAAACGAUGAAUGCUAACUGUCCGGCUCGAAUGAGCGCUGG